AAAGUCGUAACAAGGUUUCCGUAGGUGAACCUGCGGAAGGAUCAUUAUUGAAUCCUCAGGAUGUUGCUGGCCUCUCGGGGCAUGUGCACUCCAUAUAUUCAACCCACCUGUGAACACACUGUAGGCCUUGGACCGUAAAAAAGUCCCUGUGUCUAUGUUUUUAUACACCCUUUUAUAAAUUGUUUGUAGAAUGUCUAAUAGUAGGCCUUCAAUGGUCGAAAUUUAAUACAACUUUCAACAAUGGAUCUCUUGGUUCUC
This 258-nucleotide unclassified non-coding RNA is filed under the name Basidiomycota sp. RNAcentral's name for it is "partial contains small subunit ribosomal RNA, internal transcribed spacer 1, and 5.8S ribosomal RNA". The stretch from base 1 to 47 matches the Rfam family "Eukaryotic small subunit ribosomal RNA", at positions 1785 to 1831 of the family's 1831-position model. The record is from RNAcentral. Lineage: Eukaryota; Fungi; Basidiomycota.